CGCAGCAUCCCCGACCAGACGCGGACCCUGGGACGGGAGGAAGGCGCUGCCUGCAUCCCUACGCGCUCCCGGGAAGGGAAGGCUGGGGGGUCGCGCCCUGGGCCCUGCCCCGCGCUCCGGGGACGCGGUCACCGCCUGGAGUUGGCGCUCCGCGCGCAGACGGUGGUCCCCUCCUCGGGGGCCCGCGCUGCGCUGUCGGCUGCGGGAAGACCCUGCGGCGGAGAGGCCUUUUCUUUAGAAAGGAGGAAGUGUCGGAUCCUGAACCCUGAACCACGCGGGACGUGGGGGGAACAAACAAACACAUAAAAAUUUACACAUCUGGCGCCUCAAUGGGACAUCUGGAAGAGAAGACUUCGCCUAGAGUGAAAAAAUGAAGAUUCACCGUAACGGUGGGGAAGAAUUCACCGUAUAGGUGGGAAGAUAUUUCACCGCACACAAAGCCCACGAUCAGCUGCAGAAUUCCCGAUCUAAAACUCCUCCAAGCCUGUGUGGAUUCCUGCAACAACAGAUCCCAGAGAGAAACUGAC
This is a long non-coding RNA of Myotis lucifugus (little brown bat), 527 nucleotides long. RefSeq lists it as uncharacterized. The transcript has 3 exons. NCBI's taxonomy places the organism in Eukaryota, Metazoa, Chordata, Mammalia, Chiroptera, Vespertilionidae. The record is from RefSeq and is a predicted model, not a curated record.